UCUGGUGAUGAUAGCUAAAGGGAAACACCUGUACCCAUACCGAACACAGCAGUUAAGCCUUUAAACGCCGAUUGUACUUGGUUGGUAACGACCUGGGAGAGUAGGUAGUCGCUAGUA
RNAcentral lists this ribosomal RNA (117 nucleotides) under Tissierellia bacterium. The record is from RNAcentral. Lineage: Bacteria; Bacillati; Bacillota; Tissierellia.